This is a long non-coding RNA of Nomia melanderi (Alkali bee), 901 nucleotides long. RefSeq lists it as uncharacterized. Lineage: Eukaryota; Metazoa; Arthropoda; Insecta; Hymenoptera; Halictidae. The record is from RefSeq and is a predicted model, not a curated record.
GUUUCGUGAGAGUGUUAGUGAGUAAGUGAGCCAUGCAUUCGUGGAAUGGCCCACGCUUAUGAAAGCGAAAAGAUAUUCUUUCUUUUUCCCCUCUUAAUUAAGAAUUCUAGCAAUGAUGUUACAGGAAAGCACUGCGUCGAUGAUCGAAGAAAGCGAAACCCACCAUCCCCUUCUUCGAUUCACCAGCGAUGUCCAAUGCCGUUUCCAAGCUGUCCACGCGCCAUUCGACCCUGCUGAAACUUGUUUUCCACCCGAAAAUCUCGGGGUCGCUUCGUGGGAGGUGAAACGUGACGUAAAAUGGCUCGAUCGAACACUCGAUUCCCAGGAUUAUGAUUUUCCGCGUGUCGUCGACGUAACAGGGUAUACAUAAGAACUGCACGAUUCCCUGCAAACACUCGGUUCAUAAGGAAUUAAGAGUUCGUGAAAUUCUCAUUAUCUUGAUUUCGAUAAGGGACAGUAUACACAAAAUGAACGAUAUGGAAGCCAACGCACAUUCUACUUUCAUCAUCCAUCGUGUGCCGCACACAGACUUCCACGUCAGCGAUCCAAACGUCUACGGACUAACGAUUUCAUCAGUUCCAAACCUGACACGUUUAGUAAACUCAACGUAUAAAUCUAUAAGAAGAAUUUACGGUCGAAGCUUUCCGCCGCCUGUUGGUGCAAAUCUCGGUUUGUAAUUCUAGUCUUUUCGGUAUGGCCGCGAGCGGGAUGUCCUCCACGUAUAAUCUAUAGAUAAAUAAAAAAUAGAGAACGGUGUCGAAAGCUGUUGACGAGAAUACAGUAGAAUAUCGAGUACCCUAACUCUUAUUUGUUCUACGAAGGAGUCCAGAGCAGGAAAUAUUUUAUUUUAAUAUUUACAAAAAUACAAUUACAGAUGUAAACGCAAGAUAUAAAAUACCAA